This 103-nucleotide transfer RNA is filed under the name Cryptococcus amylolentus CBS 6039. RNAcentral describes it as "tRNA-Asn". The record is from RNAcentral. RNAcentral also lists the same sequence under 1 other name. Lineage: Eukaryota; Fungi; Basidiomycota; Tremellomycetes; Tremellales; Cryptococcaceae.
UGCUCUGUGGCUAAGUUGGUUACGGCGUCCGACUGUUAAAUUCCACACUUUAAUCAGUAUUCGACUGAUCGGAAGAUCGUGAGUUCGACCCUCACCGGAGCAG